GGGCGCGUAGCUCAGUGGAUAGAGCAAUUGCCUUCUAAGCAAUCGGUCGCUGGUUCGAGUCCAGCCGCGCUCG
This 73-nucleotide transfer RNA is filed under the name Anabaena sphaerica FACHB-251. Its description in RNAcentral is "tRNA-Arg". It matches the Rfam family "tRNA". From Rfam's summary of the family: Transfer RNA (tRNA) molecules are approximately 80 nucleotides in length. Their secondary structure includes four short double-helical elements and three loops (D, anti-codon, and T loops). Lineage: Bacteria; Bacillati; Cyanobacteriota; Cyanophyceae; Nostocales; Nostocaceae. The record is from RNAcentral.